RNAcentral lists this ribosomal RNA (236 nucleotides) under Vibrio parahaemolyticus. Its description in RNAcentral is "partial 23S ribosomal RNA". It matches the Rfam family "Bacterial large subunit ribosomal RNA", at positions 1 to 232 of the family's 2925-position model. Lineage: Bacteria; Pseudomonadati; Pseudomonadota; Gammaproteobacteria; Vibrionales; Vibrionaceae. The record is from RNAcentral.
GUUGUAUGGUUAAGUGACUAAGCGUACACGGUGGAUGCCUUGGCAGUCAGAGGCGAUGAAGGACGUAUUAACUUGCGAUAAGCCCAGAUUAGGCAGUAAAAGCCACUUGAGUCUGGGAUUUCCGAAUGGGGAAACCCAACUGCAUAAGCAGUUACUGUUAACUGAAUACAUAGGUUAACAGGGCGAACCGGGGGAACUGAAACAUCUAAGUACCCCGAGGAAAAGAAAUCAACCGA